RNAcentral lists this transfer RNA (69 nucleotides) under Hypleurochilus springeri (orangespotted blenny). RNAcentral's name for it is "tRNA-Glu". It matches the Rfam family "tRNA". From Rfam's summary of the family: Transfer RNA (tRNA) molecules are approximately 80 nucleotides in length. Their secondary structure includes four short double-helical elements and three loops (D, anti-codon, and T loops). Further hydrogen bonds mediate the characteristic L-shaped molecular structure. tRNAs have two regions of fundamental functional importance: the anti-codon, which is responsible for specific mRNA codon recognition, and the 3' end, to which the tRNAs corresponding amino acid is attached (by aminoacyl-tRNA synthetases). tRNAs cope with the degeneracy of the genetic code in two manners: having more than one tRNA (with a specific anti-codon) for a particular amino acid; and 'wobble' base-pairing, i.e. permitting non-standard base-pairing at the 3rd anti-codon position. Lineage: Eukaryota; Metazoa; Chordata; Actinopteri; Blenniiformes; Blenniidae. The record is from RNAcentral. RNAcentral also lists the same sequence under 1 other name.
GUUUCUGUGGUUGAAUCACAACGUUGGUUUUUCAAGUCAAAAGUCUCGGUUGGAGUCCGGGCAGAAAUU